Molecule: unclassified non-coding RNA, 220 nt
Filed under: Hevea brasiliensis (rubber tree)
Lineage: Eukaryota; Viridiplantae; Streptophyta; Magnoliopsida; Malpighiales; Euphorbiaceae
Source: RNAcentral
GGAAAAGGGUCGAUGUGGGACUCUUCACAGUAUCUGCUUUGGCUCGAUGCAACAAGAUGAGUGGUCUUGAAGUGAAGGAGAAUUAUACAUAAUUGUUCAGUAUCAACAUAUUUCCUACUUCUAACUGUCCUUCUAACCGCGCUAAGAUAAUAAGUUUGGUACAAUUAACAAGAAAAAUGAAAAAAAGAAAAAAGGAACAAAACAUAAAAUGAGAAAUAGA